RNAcentral lists this ribosomal RNA (253 nucleotides) under uncultured bacterium. Its description in RNAcentral is "partial 16S ribosomal RNA". It matches the Rfam family "Bacterial small subunit ribosomal RNA", at positions 524 to 776 of the family's 1533-position model. The record is from RNAcentral.
UACGUAGGGUGCAAGCGUUGUCCGGAAUUACUGGGCGUAAAGCGUGCGCAGGCGGCUCAUUGCGCCCGGCGUGAAAGCCCCCGGCUCAACCGGGGAGGGUCGUCGGGGACGGGUGAGCUUGAGGGUAUCAGGGGCUGGUGGAAUUCCCGGUGUAGUGGUGAAAUGCGUAGAGAUCGGGAGGAACACCCGUGGCGAAGGCGGCCAGCUGGGAUACACCUGACGCUGAGGCACGAAGGCGUGGGGAGCGAACGGG